GUGCCCAGGCCAGACUGUCGCCUCCAGCUCUGAUCCACCGGGCCACCCUGGCCCUUGGACCUGCGGCCCUGUGCCAAGGAGGCAGGGCCAGCACUAAUUAUUAUCCCCAUAUUUAACAAAAUUCACCAACUGAGUCCUUGUCUGGGAGAGUGAGGAUGGACAAGCCAACUAUCGUAAAGUGAGCAGCAAUUACUCGGACAGGCCCAGACGGGCUCCAAGCAGACACCAGCCUGAGCCCCUGUACCUUCCCUGGAGAGCUGCACCAGGGGCAGUCCUCGAGGAACCACGCCCGGCCAGGGAUUGACUCUGAUGUCUGCUUGCUUCUUUGGAGUUCCGUUUUCUUGAAAAUCUGGAGGGGUGUGUGUGUGUCGGGGGUAAGUCCUAUGGACAGAUGAUCCUGGGUUUGGGUCACUUCUGGGGUCUCCUCUCCAGGUGAGGGUGCUGGGAUACUUCCUUAGGGGGGCCCAAUUUAGCAAAUAAAAAUACAUGCUACUCGGUUAAACUUGUACUUCAGAUGAACAAGAAAUAUUUUUAGUAUGCGCAAUAUAGGUAGACACAUAGGGAGCAAAAAUAGAUUAGUGGUUGCCUAGGGCUGGGGAGAAAGGGAGGGAGAGUAACCGCUCAUGGGUACAGGGUUUCUUAGAUAGUGCGGAUGACUGGACAACUCCAAACAUACUGACAACCACUGAACUGCACACUUUCAAUAAAUGAAUUUUAUGGUAAAUGCAUUGUAUCUCAAUAAUGAUCCUGCCAUCAAUCUGGCAAUCUCCCACGGUCCUUCCAGGGGCACGUCCUUGUCACCUCGUGGGGGCCUCGGGACUGCGUGUCGGGCUCUGCGGGGUUGGCCCUGGCGUGGUCCCCAGGCGCCCGCGCCGCCUGUCUCUGGGCCACCGGGUGGGUCCUAGGUCGCGGGUGCGGGGCCACAUGACCAGGCUUUGCGUGACCAGAGCCCAGACUCACACGUAAACAUGUCUCCUGGGCACGGGACGUCGGGCUGACCACCCCCAACAACCCUGAUCCGGCAUCGGAUUCGGGAUCCCCAGCCCCUCCGUCACACCGCCCCCGCGGCGCCACAGAAACCCAAAGCACCGAACCAG
RNAcentral lists this long non-coding RNA (1097 nucleotides) under Equus caballus (horse). RNAcentral describes it as "lncRNA (ENSECAG00000058279.1)". Lineage: Eukaryota; Metazoa; Chordata; Mammalia; Perissodactyla; Equidae. The record is from RNAcentral.